UACGUAGGGGGCAAGCGUUGUCCGGAUUCAUUGGGCGUAAAGAGCGUGUAGGCGGCCAGGGAGGUCAGCUGUGAAAACUCGAGGCUCAACCUCGAGACGCCGGUUGAAACCAUCUGGCUAGAGUCCGGAAGAGGAGAGUGGAAUUCCUGGUGUAGCGGUGAAAUGCGCAGAUAUCAGGAAGAACACCCGUGGCUAAGGCGGCUCUCUAGUACGGUACUGACGCUGAGACGCGAAAGCGUGGGGAGCGAACAGG
RNAcentral lists this ribosomal RNA (253 nucleotides) under uncultured bacterium. RNAcentral describes it as "partial 16S ribosomal RNA". It matches the Rfam family "Bacterial small subunit ribosomal RNA", at positions 524 to 776 of the family's 1533-position model. The record is from RNAcentral.